AGCCCAGCCCCCUUAAAUUUUGACCCGACCCAACCUUCUUCCUCCCCUACCCGUUUUCCCCAGAAAAAAAAAACAGAGCCCAGACGCGAAAAUCCCAUGCGACUCCCAGCAGAAACAAGAAACAGCAGCCGCGAAAUUUCCAGGAAAAACUCCCUCCAUCACGUCUCCUUCACGCGUAAACUCCUCCCCCAAACACCCUCCUCUCUCUCCUUCUCUCUAUCGCGCGUGAAGGAACAAAUUUGUGUCGUCUUCCUCUGUGAUUCAUACAACAGUACGCCCGCGUAGCUGCAGCAAUGAAGGCUGCAAAUCCCAUCCUUGUAGCGUAGGAUCAUUCCACGUAAUGGUGCAAGGACACGCGAUUAAUCUGAUCCCUCUAUGUGUGCUCCCUUUCCGUUGGAAUGCGACAAAUUCGAGAGCAUCUUCAGGGCAUAUUCCCUCAACCUUUGGAUAAGAUUUGGGCGUGUAAAGGCAUCUUCCAGCCAUUUCCCUUGGAAAAACCCUAAUUUUCCUCUAUUUAAACUCUCGUCUUGCUUCAGAAAACGGAUUGGAAAAUUCUUGGGGGAAAAUUCUUUCAGUUUUCUUGUUUAUUUCGGAAGACCUAAAGGAGAAUUACAGAGGUUGGAAAUUUUUUUUGGGUAGAUUUGAGCGGAGGAUUUCUUUUCUCUCUAUCAUUUUUUUCUGUUCAAACUUUUUGAGAAGAGUUUCAAGAUAUCUUAGAAAGGGUUUCCAAGAUCGUGCGAAACAAGUGAUCAACAGAUUGGUGAGCUAAUCGAUCUAGCGGCUUUCGUUUCGUCAUUUGGUGUUCGUGUUUUCGUUUGGGGUGGAGGUUGUUGCUGAUGCUGCUCGUUCUCGUCUCAGUCUUGCUGCACCCAAAAAGGUACGGUUUACCUCUUUCGAACUUACCUCAUCUUUGUUGCUUUAAUGCGAUGGUUUUUAGCUGUGACUGUCGAUUUUCUCUAGUGAUAUUCUAAAUCGUUAUAUGUGUUUCUGUUCACCAAUUUGUUGUUCCUUUGUUUCGUUUUUGGGUCAAGUUGUGUUGAGAUACUCGAAUGUGAGUAUUCAUGGUUGGUCUGUUUACGCUUUGACCCAAUGGCUUCGUGUUUGUUUUCAUCUUUGUUUCUCCUUGUGUUAAGUUUAUUUAGUUGUCAUCCGUCAAGUCGCAUCUUAUGCUUUCAUUGCCAAUUUUAUCACUUCCUCCGUUCAUUUGUUUGAGUGCUACAAUCAGAUUCUUGAAAUAUCAGUGUAGUUCUAUUUUGUUCUUUGUGAUAUUUUUUUCUGUUUCGAGUGUUGAAGCAUGUCGUUUCUUCCCCCAUUCCAUACUGGAAGUAGUAAAAAUGUCAAAUUCCAUCUUGCUCAUAUAUAGAAGCGAAUUUUUUUUUUGCGAUUCUCGUUGAUAUUAUGCGCUGUUGGUCCAUGUUUAACAUGCUUAUUUUAUGUCAUUCCAUUUUGCUGUGACCUUCCUCAACUAUAAUACGUAAUAAUAAUGCGAAUAUGUUUGUUUCUUCAGUUUUCAUCCGCUGUAUUUUAGAAAAAAAAAUAUACUUAUGUUACUUUGGAUUUGUUGUAAGUUGACAUUUUCUAUUAUGUUUCUUCAGUGAAAAGUAAUCAAAUCCAUUGCUUCAAUCCUUUAGCCUGAUGCAAUAUUUUCAUAUGUGGGUAUACAUAUAUAUAUAAUAGUUGGGUAGAGUCUUCUUUUUCUUAUUCGUUUAAAAUUUUGUAUAAAAAGUGGCAGUUCAUUGAUUCUAUAUAUUUCCUUCUAUGAAUGCACGUGAUUCGACUCUUUUCAUACGUUUGUGGCAUCAUAUCUCAUGCUUCGAAUAGUACGAGUAGAGCUCCGUUGAUUCUCAAGUGAUAUGUCGGCAUCCAUUACUAUUUGUUUUACUUAAAAUUCUAUGUUCAUGUCAACGUGAUGUUCCAUUUAAGUAUCUAUUUUAUCUUAUCAUGUAUUAUCUUUUCUAAUAAAAAUGCAAAUUUUAAUUAUUUGUUUGUCCUUCUGCUUGUGAAAUAUGUUCCGGUCCUCACGGACUUUGUCUAUGCAUUUUCUCAUUGGGACACAAAGGACCGAAUCUCCAUAUUCUAAUAAGCUUGCAAAAUAGAAGAAAUAGUUCCGAAAGGCUUACAGAUACCAAAGUGAAAAGAAUCGAAGAAAGUCACAGAAGGCGGAUUGGAAGAUUUUUUUUAAUUUAUUAUGUUGUAUUUAUUUUGGGCAUACGCCCUUCUCAUUUUUACCUUGUAUUUAUUUUGUAUGUUUAGACUGAAGUGGGUCGAAAACCCAAACGAGAAAUAGGUUAAAAACCCAAAAAGCAGGUGGAUCCAAAUUUCGGUCAAGGCAGACAGAACCCGAAAUUGGACCCAAUCUCUCUCUCUCUCCCUCUUUACUAUAUUGUUUACAUGCUUUGUUUGAAUGCCAUUAGCUUAGGAUUAGGAAAACUCCAAUCCCCAUUGAAAGUCAUACUAUUUAUCAAACUUAAAACUAAACUAAAUUUUAAAACAAUAAUGUUCGAAAUUCGCAAGUUCGCUUAGAUUUAAAUUUUAGGAAGUUUAACUUCAAAUAAAAUUCGCAAAUCUUAAAAAAUAAUAUUAGUCAAAUGGUUAGUUGUCGGAAAGCCGCAUUAAGCGGAACGUCUUAGGUGCCUUCAAAACAUUCCUAAGACGUUAAUAAGAAUCCCCGAACCCUUUUAAAUGUUUUCAAACAAUUUUUCUGUUUAAGUUAUUUGAAAACAAUUUUCUUAAUUUCUCUUAAAAAAUUAAGUGGCGACUCCCUAAAAAGUCAAAAAUAUCUUAAAACAAAAUAAAUAAACUCUUUCAAUUUUUUCGAUAAAACAGAGUUGAUUCUAGUAUUUUUUUUUGUUAUGUAGUUGAAUAUAAUAGUUUGGGGGAAAGAAAUAAUUGAAUCUAGAGGGUUUAGAGUUGAAAAACAACUAAAAGAAUUCGUCAAUUAUCUGGGGAAGGGGUUCAGGCAUUGUGCCACUCUGAGUGCCACACAUCAAUCUCUAAAAUUUGUCCUCUAAGGCGCCGGAACUCCGGUGCACCCCAAGCAAUGCCAGGUAGUUCAGCAUGGUGCCCUGUUCCACUCAGAACACUAGGCGUUCUAAGUCUUCCACUUUUGACCACUUCUUUCCGUUUGAGUUCCCUUGCAUCGUACCUAAGUUUUUAAUCAAUUUCUAAACUCUAAGGUACAUCUAAAAAAGUGAGAACAUCCAUAACAUUAGAUCAUGAGCCUUUAAUCCAUAAUAAAGUAAAGAGUCAAGGCUAGAGAAGUUCAUAGAGUUUUCUAAAAUUCUUUCACAAAAAUUUUAAAUUUGUUUAAGACUUGAGUAUUAGGUUGAGUAAAGAGUACAAUGGAAGUUCAUUUCUUUAAAGGAUAUAUAGGAACUAAGUUUUCCCAAAGAAAAAAUGUUGCCACAUUUAAAUAUUAGAGGAAACAUCAAUUUCCAAAUGAGUUCUCACGAAUCGUUUUGAGUUCCAUAUCUAGUAAGAGAUAAGCUUUUUGAGUAAUUACCUCAAAUCACAAAAAAGAGUUUUGUUUUAAAAAAAUAUGAUUUGAGUAUAUUUUGGGACUAAUAUUAGGC
RNAcentral lists this long non-coding RNA (3572 nucleotides) under Solanum lycopersicum (tomato). RNAcentral's name for it is "long non-coding RNA (SLYC_LNC001346)". Lineage: Eukaryota; Viridiplantae; Streptophyta; Magnoliopsida; Solanales; Solanaceae. The record is from RNAcentral.